AAACAUCUGCGUCACUCUUUACCACCCUGUCCGCCCUUGAUGUCAGCCAUUUUACAUAGUAAUCGCCACUGAAUUCGGCCAAAAAGUAGCUAGCUAGCUAUCAGGAUUAAAUACAUAUUUAUUGCUAGCAAAUAACCACCGAAGAGCGAAAAUGGAGACCGAAGGUCAAGUUGACUUCAGCACAGAUGAGUUUCCAGAGGGCUCCAAGAUCAACGCAAGUAAAAACCAGCAGGAUGACGGCAAGAUGUUCAUCGGAGGGCUCAGUUGGGACACCAGCAAAACGGACCUCACAGAUUACCUGUCAAAGUUUGGAGAGGUUCUGGACUGCACCAUCAAAACAGACCUAAUGACGGGCCGGUCCCGAGGAUUCGGCUUUGUCCUCUUCAAAGAUGCAGAGAGUGUAGACAGGGUGUUGGAGCUGAAGGAGCACAAGCUGGAUGGGAAGCUGAUUGACCCAAAGAGGGCCAAAGCCAUGAAGGGGAAGGAGCCGCCCAAGAAGGUGUUUGUUGGAGGCCUCAGCCCAGACACCCCAGAGGAGGAGAUCAGGGAAUACUUUGGUGCUUUUGGAGAUAUUGACAGCAUCGAGCUUCCCAUGGACACCAAAACCAACGAGCGACGCGGGUUCUGCUUCGUGACAUACUGUGAGGAGACUCCUGUCCAGAAGCUAUUGGAGUGUAGAUACCACCAAGUCGGAAGCGGAAAGUGUGAAAUCAAAGUGGCCCAGCCCAAAGAAGUGUAUAGACAGCAGCAACAACACAGAGGAGAGAGAGGGGGCUACGGAGGUGGGAGGGGAGGAGGAAACAGGGGCCGGGGACGAGGAGGUCAGAGUAGCUACAACCAGGGUUACAACGGCUACUACAGCCAGAACUAUGGUAGCUACGGAAACGGAUACAGCCAGGGCUACAAUGGCUACACAGGCUAUGACUACUCUGGCUACAACUAUAAUAGUUAUGGUUAUGGACAGGGAUACGACGACUACAAUGGUCAGCAGAGCAGCUAUGGGAAGGCCUCUCGAGAGGUCACAACCCACCAGAACAACUACCAGCCUUACUGAGCUGAUCUGAUCCAAUCCAACAAGACCUGCAUAGACUUCUGCGAGGACUUCAUUGCAGGCCGUGUGUCGCCUGACCACGACAAUCUCUGGGCGUCGCACAUAGCGGGCAGAGAGCACGGCAUGCACAAGAAAACGCUGUCCUGUGAUGGGCUAGGCUGGCUGGAGAAUGACCCUGUACCCAGGUGCCAGCUUUUGGGGAUGAUUCCUAUCCUGUCCACCGAUCGGCUCAUGUUUUAAACACCAGACCCUUAUUUUGCUUCCCACAUCUUAGCUGAAGCUGACAUGAUGACAUGCAGCUUGUCUGACUUUGUAAAUACAGAGGUUGCUGUUUUUUGUUUCCUGUUCUUCCCACCCUUUUCUCUUUGUUGUGUACUCUGCUGAGAUUGUAGGUCUAGGUUUCAUCCUGAUUUAAUGUGUUCUUAUGACCUUGAUUUUCACCUUGUCCUGUGAUUUUAAACUUGGAAUUUUCUUUAAAUUUUUUGGAUAAUGGUAUUAUUAAAAGUGGGUACAAAACUGA
RNA transcript from Esox lucius (northern pike), 1571 nucleotides. It is a transcript of the gene named heterogeneous nuclear ribonucleoprotein D-like, with no coding region annotated. The record is from RefSeq and is a predicted model, not a curated record. Lineage: Eukaryota; Metazoa; Chordata; Actinopteri; Esociformes; Esocidae. The transcript has 9 exons.